AUGCAGUCGAACGGCAGCACGGAGCUUGCUCUGGUGGCGAGUGGCGAACGGGUGAGUAAUAUAUCGGAACGUACCCURGAGUGGGGGAUAACGUAGCGAAAGUUACGCUAAUACCGCAUACGAUCUAAGGAUGAAAGUGGGGGAUCGCAAGACCUCAUGCUCGUGGAGCGGCCGAUAUCUGAUUAGCUAGUUGGUAGGGUAAAAGCCUACCAAGGCAUCGAUCAGUAGCUGGUCUGAGAGGACGACCAGCCACACUGGAACUGAGACACGGUCCAGACUCCUACGGGAGGCAGCAGUGGGGAAUUUUGGACAAUGGGCGAAAGCCUGAUCCAGCAAUGCCGCGUGAGUGAAGAAGGCCUUCGGGUUGUAAAGCUCUUUUGUCAGGGAAGAAACGGUGAGAGCUAAUAUCUCUUGCUAAUGACGGUACCUGAAGAAUAAGCACCGGCUAACUACGUGCCAGCAGCCGCGGUAAUACGUAGGGUGCAAGCGUUAAUCGGAAUUACUGGGCGUAAAGCGUGCGCAGGCGGUUUUGUAAGUCUGAUGUGAAAUCCCCGGGCUCAACCUGGGAAUUGCAUUGGAGACUGCAAGGCUAGAAUCUGGCAGAGGGGGGUAGAAUUCCACGUGUAGCAGUGAAAUGCGUAGAUAUGUGGAGGAACACCGAUGGCGAAUGCAGCCCCCUGGGUCAAGAUUGACGCUCAUGCACGAAAGCGUGGGGAGCAAACAGGAUUAGAUACCCUGGUAGUCCACGCCCUAAACGAUGUCUACUAGUUGUCGGGUCUUAAUUGACUUGGUAACGCAGCUAACGCGUGAAGUAGACCGCCUGGGGAGUACGGUCGCAAGAUUAAAACUCAAAGGAAUUGACGGGGACCCGCACAAGCGGUGGAUGAUGUGGAUUAAUUCGAUGCAACGCGAAAAC
RNAcentral lists this ribosomal RNA (916 nucleotides) under Janthinobacterium aquaticum. Its description in RNAcentral is "bacterial SSU rRNA". The record is from RNAcentral. Lineage: Bacteria; Pseudomonadati; Pseudomonadota; Betaproteobacteria; Burkholderiales; Oxalobacteraceae.